CCUACGGGAGGCAGCAGUGGGGAAUAUUGCACAAUGGGGGAAACUCUGAUGCAGCGACGCCGCGUGCGUGAAGAAGUAUCUCGGUACGUAAAGCUCUAUCAGCAGGGAAGAAAAUGACGAUACCUGACUCAGAAGCCCCGGCUCACUACGUGCCAGCAGCGGCGGUAAUAUGGAGGAGGCAAGCGUGAUCCGGAUUUACUGGGUGUAAAGGGAGUGUAGUCGGCAGCACAAGUGUGAAGUGAAAUCCCGGGGCUCAACCCCGGAACUGCUUUGGAAACUGUGCGGCUGGAGUGCAGUAGGGGUAGGCGGAAUGCCUGGUGUAGCGGUGAAAUGCGUAGAGAUUAGGAGGAACACCGGUGGUGAAGGCAGCUUACUAAACUAUGACUGACGUUGAGGCACGAAAGCGUGGGGAGCAAACAGGAUUAGAUACCCCAGUAGUC
RNAcentral lists this ribosomal RNA (440 nucleotides) under uncultured bacterium. RNAcentral describes it as "partial 16S ribosomal RNA". It matches the Rfam family "Bacterial small subunit ribosomal RNA", at positions 338 to 795 of the family's 1533-position model. The record is from RNAcentral.